RNAcentral lists this long non-coding RNA (1057 nucleotides) under Felis catus (domestic cat). RNAcentral describes it as "lncRNA (ENSFCAG00000042296.2)". The record is from RNAcentral. Lineage: Eukaryota; Metazoa; Chordata; Mammalia; Carnivora; Felidae.
CACUGUUUAAUUGUAAUAGGGGGCCAAGUGAGUAGAUGUGCAAACCCCUUAGGUCUUAGGUGAUCACGAGUGCUAAGAAGAGAGUGUCAUCAUGAGCCUACGUCAGGUGUGGCUGGCAAGCAAUCGAUGUGCUCUAUCAUGGGACCUGGGAAACAGAGUAGUAACUGAUGGAAAGUCUUCUCAUCAAGAUCUUCCAAAAGAAUCCUCACCUCAGAAUUUCAUCUGAAGUCCUCUUUGUGUCGUCCUCCAAGGGAACUUAAUCUCGGCUCUGCGUCCAGGGAGGGCUUUAUCCGUACGUCACCUUUAUCUGCACAUAGCUUCCAUUGAGUGACUUUGUUGCAUCAUUCAAAAAAUUUGUACGCUUCCCUCCCUUCUGUAUAACUAUGUGGCUUCGUGAGAGAACCUUCUUUUGGUCAUUCUUUUAUUCCAUUGUGUUUGAUUUGGCAGCCCGGGAACUGCACUAACACACGAUCUUUCCCACAGCAGGUGCUCCGUGAAAGCACGUUAAGCGUCCGUGAUAAAUUAACAGAAGCAGGAAAGAUGCCAAUCGUUCGAAGAUGCUUCUGUUGUACCGUGUGUGCUUCCCCUGCAAGAGUGGUUUCUCACAUUUUUCUCGUCUGCCGUAGCUGCUUGUGUCUUUUGGAGCCGAGUAAGCCGGAUUGUGAUGGUUGGAGAGUGGCUUCCCUAACAGACGAAAUUAAGAGAGCUACCGGGACUCCCCGCACUCGAACCAUUACGAUUCGAACCAAGAUAUCUGCACGAGUGGAUCAGACUCCGUUGCACCCAAGCCAACCCUCCAUUCUUUGGAUAUAAUUCUCCACACGUUUCCAUAAUGCAAACAAACAAUUGAGAAAUACGUACAUGCACACGUACAAUGCCGGGGUCCCAGCCAGCCUCUGCUAUUCCAGAGAAUUCCAGAGAAGGGGAAGACAGUGAUCCCGGAGGAAGCAGAGUUGUGUGUUUGAAUGCCAUGGUGUUUGACAUAUCAGGGGUUGCGUGGUUGUGGAGAGUCUUAACAAACAGGCAUAAAUAAAGCCCAUGAGGAUCUGUGAGGUCA